This 497-nucleotide ribosomal RNA is filed under the name uncultured bacterium. Its description in RNAcentral is "partial 16S ribosomal RNA". It matches the Rfam family "Bacterial small subunit ribosomal RNA", at positions 28 to 507 of the family's 1533-position model. The record is from RNAcentral.
GAUGGACGCUGGCGGCGUGCCUAAUACAUGCAAGUCGAGCGAACAGACGAGGAGCUUGCUCCUCUGACGUUAGCGGCGGACGGGUGAGUAACACGUGGAUAACCUACCUAUAAGACUGGGAUAACUUCGGGAAACCGGAGCUAAUACCGGAUAAUAUAUUGAACCGCAUGGUUCAAUAGUGAAAGACGGUUUUGCUGUCACUUAUAGAUGGAUCCGCGCCGCAUUAGCUAGUUGGUAAGGUAACGGCUUACCAAGGCAACGAUGCGUAGCCGACCUGAGAGGGUGAUCGGCCACACUGGAACUGAGACACGGUCCAGACUCCUACGGGAGGCAGCAGUAGGGAAUCUUCCGCAAUGGGCGAAAGCCUGACGGAGCAACGCCGCGUGAGUGAUGAAGGUCUUCGGAUCGUAAAACUCUGUUAUUAGGGAAGAACAAAUGUGUAAGUAACUAUGCACGUCUUGACGGUAACUAAUCAGAAAGCCACGGCUAACUACGUG